RNAcentral lists this unclassified non-coding RNA (378 nucleotides) under plant metagenome. RNAcentral describes it as "partial contains 5.8S ribosomal RNA, internal transcribed spacer 2, and large subunit ribosomal RNA". The stretch from base 1 to 105 matches the Rfam family "5.8S ribosomal RNA", at positions 50 to 154 of the family's 154-position model. The record is from RNAcentral.
GAAAUGCGAGAAGUAAUGUGAAGUGCAGAAGGAAGUGAAGAAUAGAAUAUUUGAACGCACCUUGCGCUCCUUGGUAUUCCUUGGAGCAUGCCUGUUUGAGUAUCAUGAAAUCUUCAAAGUAAAUCUUUUGUUAACUCAAUUGGUUUCUACUUUGGUAUUGGAGGUCUUUGCAGCUUCACACCUGCUCCUCUUUGUUCAUUAGCUGGAUCUCAGUGUUAUGCUUGGUUCCACUCGGCGUGAUAAGUUAUCUAUCGCUGAGGACACUGUAAAAGGUGGCCAAGGUAAAUGCAGAUGAACCGCUUCUAAUAGUCCAUUGACUUGGACAAUACUUUUAUGAUCUGAUCUCAAAUCAGGUAGGACUACCCGCUGAACUUAAGC